GACGAACGCUGGCGGCGUGCCUAAUACAUGCAAGUAGAACGCUGAAGGAGGAGCUUGCUUCUCUGGAUGAGUUGCGAACGGGUGAGUAACGCGUAGGUAACCUGCCUGGUAGCGGGGGAUAACUAUUGGAAACGAUAGCUAAUACCGCAUAAGAUUGGCUAUUGCAUGAUAGUCAGUUAAAAGGUGCAAUUGCAUCACUACCAGAUGGACCUGCGUUGUAUUAGCUAGUUGGUGGGGUAACGGCUCACCAAGGCGACGAUACAUAGCCGACCUGAGAGGGUGAUCGGCCACACUGGGACUGAGACACGGCCCAGACUCCUACGGGAGGCAGCAGUAGGGAAUCUUCGGCAAUGGACGGAAGUCUGACCGAGCAACGCCGCGUGAGUGAAGAAGGUUUUCGGAUCGUAAAGCUCUGUUGUAAGAGAAGAACGAGUGUGAGAGUGGAAAGUUCACACUGUGACGGUAUCUUACCAGAAAGGGACGGCUAACUACGUG
Molecule: ribosomal RNA, 495 nt
Filed under: uncultured bacterium
Lineage: Bacteria
Description: partial 16S ribosomal RNA
Rfam family: Bacterial small subunit ribosomal RNA
Source: RNAcentral